UGGGGAAUAUUGUGCAAUGGGCGAAAGCCUGACACAGCGAUGCCGCGUGAAGGAUGAAGGUCUUAGGAUUGUAAACUUCUGUUAAAUGGGAAGAAAGAGUGUGAGUUAAUAGCUUGCAAAGAUGACGGUACCAUUAGAGAAAGCCCCGGCUAACUUCGUGCCAGCAGCCGCGGUAAGACGAGGGGGGCAAGCGUUAUUCGGAAUUACUGGGCGUAAAGGGCGUGUAGGUGGCCUGUUAAGUUUGAUGUUAAAUCACACAGCCUAACUGUGUGGCGGCAUUGGAUACUGAUAGGCUAGAGGGUAAAAGAGAGGAGUGGAAUUCUCGGAGUAGCGGUUAAAUGCGUGGAUCUCGAGAGGAACACCGAUGGCGAAGGCAGCUCCUUGGUUUACAACUGACACU
Molecule: ribosomal RNA, 400 nt
Filed under: uncultured bacterium
Lineage: Bacteria
Description: bacterial SSU rRNA
Rfam family: Bacterial small subunit ribosomal RNA
Source: RNAcentral